GGGGCUGUAGCUCAGCUGGGAGAGCGCCUCAAUGGCAUUGAGGAGGCCGACGGUUCGAUCCCGUUCAGCUCCACCA
RNAcentral lists this transfer RNA (76 nucleotides) under Deltaproteobacteria bacterium. Its description in RNAcentral is "tRNA-Ala". It matches the Rfam family "tRNA". Rfam says of the family: Transfer RNA (tRNA) molecules are approximately 80 nucleotides in length. RNAcentral also lists the same sequence under 2 other names. The record is from RNAcentral. Lineage: Bacteria; Pseudomonadati; Myxococcota; Myxococcia.